RNAcentral lists this ribosomal RNA (491 nucleotides) under uncultured bacterium. Its description in RNAcentral is "bacterial SSU rRNA". It matches the Rfam family "Bacterial small subunit ribosomal RNA", at positions 29 to 512 of the family's 1533-position model. The record is from RNAcentral.
AUUGAACGCUGGCGGCGUGCCUAACACAUGCGAGUCGAGCGGUAACAGGCGUAGCAAUACGUGCUGACGAGCGGCGAACGGGUGCGUAACACAUGGGAAUCUGCCCUCUGGUGGGGAAUAACCCGGCGAAAGCCGGGCUAGUGCCGCAUAAGAUCUUCGGAUGAAAGCGGGGGACCGUAAGGCCUCGCGCCGUUGGAUGAGCCCAUGUCGGAUUAGCUAGUUGGUGGGGUAACGGCCCACCAAGGCGACGAUCCGUAGCUGGUCUGAGAGGACGGCCAGCCACACUGGGACUGAGACACGGCCCAGACUCCUACGGGAGGCAGCAGUGGGGAAUAUUGGACAAUGGGCGAAAGCCUGAUCCAGCGACGCCGCGUGUGUGAAGAAGGCCUGCGGGUUGUAAAGCACUUUCGAUGGGAACGAAAUGUGCCGGGCUAACACCCCGGCAAGCUGACGUUACUCAAUGAAGAAGCACCGGCUAACUCUGUGCCAGC